UGAGGAAUAUUGGGCAAUGCCCGCAAGGGUGACCCAGCAACGCCGCGUGGAGGAUGAAUGUCGUAAGAUUGUAAACUCCUGUUAGAGGGGAAGAAUAGUACCGGUUGGACCGGUAUAUGACUGUACCCUCAGAGAAAGCCCAGGCUAACUACGUGCCAGCAGCCGCGGUAAUACGUAGGGGGCAAGCGUUGUCCGGAUUUACUGGGUGUAAAGGGCGCGCAGGCGGGAUAAAAAGUCAGUGGUGAAAUCCUACAGCUUAACUGUAGAACUGCCUUUGAUACUUUUAUUCUUGAGUUCGGGAGAGAGAGACGGAAUUCCAGGUGUAGUGGUGAAAUACGUAGAUAUCUGGAAGAACACCAGUUGCGAAGGCGGUCUCUUGGUCCGACACUGACGCUGAGGCGCGAAAGCGUGGGGAGCAAACA
Molecule: ribosomal RNA, 422 nt
Filed under: uncultured bacterium
Lineage: Bacteria
Description: bacterial SSU rRNA
Rfam family: Bacterial small subunit ribosomal RNA
Source: RNAcentral